UCAAAGAUUAAGCCAUGCAUGUCUAAGUAUAAACACUUUUGUACUGUGAAACUGCGAAUGGCUCAUUAUAUCAGUUAUAGUCUACUCGAUAGUACCUUACUACUUGGAUAACCGUAGUAAUUCUAGAGCUAAUACAUGCAUGAAUACCCAACUGCUUGUCGGGCGGGUAGCAUUUAUUAGAUUGAAACCAAUUCAGUCUUCGGGCUGGUAUUGUGUUGAGUCAUAAUAACUGUGCGGAUCGCGCUUUUGCGCGAUAAAUCGAUUGAGUUUCUGCCCUAUCAGCUUUGGAUGGUAGGAUAUGGGCCUACCAUGGCAUUAACGGGUAACGGGGAAUUAGGGUUUGAUUCCGGAGAGGGAGCCUUAGAAACGGCUACCACAUCCAAGGAAGGCAGCAGGCGCGUAAAUUACCCAAUCCUGAUACAGGGAGGUAGUGACAAUAAAUAACAAUGCUCUGGCUCUUCGAGUCGGGCAAUUGGAAUGAGAACAAUUUAAAUCCCUUAACGAGGAUCAAUUGGAGGGCAAGUCUGGUGCCAGCAGCCGCGGUAAUUCAAGGGCGAAUUC
RNAcentral lists this ribosomal RNA (561 nucleotides) under uncultured stramenopile. RNAcentral describes it as "SSU rRNA". It matches the Rfam family "Eukaryotic small subunit ribosomal RNA", at positions 37 to 595 of the family's 1831-position model. The record is from RNAcentral.